This 371-nucleotide long non-coding RNA is filed under the name Olea europaea (common olive). RNAcentral's name for it is "long non-coding RNA (OEUR_LNC005086)". Lineage: Eukaryota; Viridiplantae; Streptophyta; Magnoliopsida; Lamiales; Oleaceae. The record is from RNAcentral.
GAGGAUUUAAUUCCAAAUUUAAAUGAAGGAAAUUGAAAUGUACCCAGAUGAAUAAAAUUGCACAAAAUCUUUUCAGAGAUUCUCUCCUGUGAUUCUCUAUCGAAAAUGCAAUCACUCAUAGAUAUGGGUUCUUUAUACAGUCAAAAUAUAUAACCUUUUAAUUGAGAUUAAAAUGCAUCACAAAAAAUGGAAAAAAAACUAAAAUUUAUCAGGUAUGUGAAACUCACCGAUCUCUAUAUAUAGCUGUUAUCCAUAUAGCCGGAGGGUAUAAUCUUUGGAACCAGUCAAUGCCGUAGAGCCAAGUCAGCUUCGUUGUAACAGGAGAAUUUUAGAGAGAGAAGAGAAGAGAGUUUUAGAGAGAGAGAGAGAGG